RNAcentral lists this transfer RNA (73 nucleotides) under Loxodonta africana (African savanna elephant). It matches the Rfam family "tRNA". From Rfam's summary of the family: Transfer RNA (tRNA) molecules are approximately 80 nucleotides in length. Their secondary structure includes four short double-helical elements and three loops (D, anti-codon, and T loops). Lineage: Eukaryota; Metazoa; Chordata; Mammalia; Proboscidea; Elephantidae. The record is from Rfam by way of RNAcentral.
GCUCUGGUGGCAUAAUGGUUAAGCAGCUUGACUGCUAUCCAAAAGGUUGGUGGUUCAAAUCCACUCAACGGCU